RNAcentral lists this non-coding RNA (27 nucleotides) under Mus musculus (house mouse). The record is from RNAcentral. Lineage: Eukaryota; Metazoa; Chordata; Mammalia; Rodentia; Muridae.
UCAACUCAGAGUACAAGGAGAAGGGAU